Long non-coding RNA from Drosophila teissieri, 919 nucleotides. RefSeq lists it as uncharacterized. Lineage: Eukaryota; Metazoa; Arthropoda; Insecta; Diptera; Drosophilidae. The record is from RefSeq and is a predicted model, not a curated record. The transcript has 3 exons.
UUUUUGGCACUUAAGGCCUGAAUCCAAAAAUAAAGCCCGCUCGUCAGUGUAAUUAUCAGUUUUGUUUUUUCUCCCUUGGAAUUUAUUCCGCAUAAAUCUCCCGCAAGUAUCUGGCUCAAUAAGGGGAAAGGCUUAUCAGGUGCAGUCACACUCUCCUCUGGCCAGCUCAUCCUUCCCAGUGCGUUGGGAAAUUCAUUAUAAAAUGCGGUUUGAAUUAUUUGUCAAAAUGUCUGGUCCCGGACGCCGUGACAUUGAUGUUGACAUUGACGGACAGACUGGGUCGAAUGUCCCCGACAGAACAAGCCCAACUCACUCGUUCGAUGUGACAAAAUAAAUGAAAUUGUUAAUGGCCACCGUCAGGUGACACAAAUAUGUGGAUGUUUAUAUUUUAUAAACAAAGCUUUAGGAGCCCCAAUUCUAGUUUGGGACUAAAACAGAAGAAAAGCUUCGCAUUAAGACAUUUGAAGACGCAUAUUUUGAAGUAUGACCAUACUCAAUGCAAGUCACUGCCUUCCGAGUCUCGAGAUAACUGUCAGUUUCAAUCGUGUCUGCAGAACUUGUCACUCAUUCAAUAGUUUUGAAAAUUACGAAUGUCACUUACAACCCAACAACAAGAGCCACUGCCUUGCACUUACGGCUCCCUCUUUCCUCAGGCACAUGUGUCUGUGAGUAAGCAUCCUUGCCAAGGAUGCGGACUGAGACAAUGUUGCUGGAGACGGAGAAGGAUACUGCCAAGAAGACAAAGUCGAGUCAGAAGGAUGACGCGGCAGCAGACGCUGUGAAUUAAAACAAGGCCAAGGAAUAAAAUAAUAAAAGAACACGAAGCAAAGCAAAAGAAAACGUGAACGCUCCCAUACCGUUCCAGCCUCUCGUAUUUGUGUGAGGAUGACCCAUAAUAGAGAAUGGUUUUGGGGCCACU